CAAAGUUUUUAAUAGCUUUUAAUCUCCAAGGUCUUGGGAUACCUUUGUCAAAGUUGCUGUGACAAAGUCCCAGGGAGUUUGUCAAAGUAUAGCGUCUUAAAAGUGCAAAAAAUAGAGGGAAUAUUCACAAAAUAUGACUGACUUCCUGUUCAUUUUAGAGCAUGGUCCCAAAAGACUUGUUUUUAAGGCCACCUACAUGUGUUAAAAUAUCACCAUACUUGUAGGUCAAAAGGGGCAGUUGAAAACUGCCAGGGGGCACUAUGUAGGCCAUUUUUUUCAACUCUGUAGUGUCAUUAUCUAGGACACAGACAAAACAUUAAGAGUUUUUGAGUUUUCCAAGGCUCGGAAAUAUCUGAACUGUGAUGCAAAGGCCGUGUUGUUACGGCAACAAAGUUUUUCUAUAACUCCCAAUAAUCAUGGGGAACUAUCAAAGUCUUAAGGCUUUAAUGGAUACAUUUAAAGGUCGAUGGAUUAGAUGGCUAGUAGUAGCACAUUAAAGUGUUCAACUUUUUGCAUUUCCUUAUGCCAAUAGAUGGCGCUAUGAUUCUUUUAAUUACUGCAUGGGACUGCUUUAAGGCCUACACUACCAUCAUGAAGACAUUUUGGCCAGAACUUGGAAUAUUCCUUGGAGUUAUAACAUUUUACAUUUUCAAGAAAAUCCACCAAAAUGGACGCCGGUCCACGUCCAGGUUGUUGAAAACUCUUGAUUUGGAUGACUUUCGACUACACAGGUGUCAGGAUCAGUCUGCCCAAAUUUAAACUCUUGGAGGAGUUCAUUUGUUUGUAAAUCCAAAAUAUGAUAGAAAUUGAAAAAAACAAGCAAGAGAAAACAGUCACAAGCAUCCCGCACAUUCUUGAUCAUUACCUUACUGGAGUCAGCCUGGGUUGCUUUGGAAUGAAAUGAAAUAGCAUUAACCUUCGCUCAGGCCAUAAUAAAAAAAUCAAUAUAGUGCACUGAGGAGCAGAUAACCAUACUCUACACACCUGCGUUGUGACCGUAUGUGAAAGUGACAAGUGUAUGUGAACGGGAAGUGUGAAG
This is a long non-coding RNA of Gasterosteus aculeatus aculeatus (three-spined stickleback), 1039 nucleotides long. The record is from Ensembl. Lineage: Eukaryota; Metazoa; Chordata; Actinopteri; Perciformes; Gasterosteidae.